UCGAGAAUCUUCCGCAAUGCGCGAAAGCGUGACGGAGCGACGCCGCGUGGGUGAUGAAGGCCUUCGGGUUGUAAAGCCCUGUUGCCUGCUAAGAACGUCGAACGGUGAAUAGCUGUUUCGGCUGACGUCAGCAGGGGAGGAAGCACCGGCUAAUUACGUGCCAGCAGCCGCGGUAAUACGUAAGGUGCGAACGUUGUUCGGAAUCACUGGGCGUAAAGAGCACGUAGGCGGCUUGAUAAGUCCGACUGUG
Molecule: ribosomal RNA, 250 nt
Filed under: uncultured bacterium
Lineage: Bacteria
Description: partial 16S ribosomal RNA
Rfam family: Bacterial small subunit ribosomal RNA
Source: RNAcentral